Lolium perenne is the source of this 3859-nucleotide non-coding RNA. NCBI's taxonomy places the organism in Eukaryota, Viridiplantae, Streptophyta, Magnoliopsida, Poales, Poaceae. The record is from RefSeq and is a predicted model, not a curated record.
ACCGCUCGUUUCCACCGCAACAGUUAGCUUUUCACCCCCGCGGCAAUGACAGCCGCUGGAUUCGGUAAUUUUUUGUUUACCCGCCGCAGCUUGUUCACAGUCUAUGACGCGUGGGCCUGUUUUCUUGUGGGACCGGUGAUCAGAGGCAGCAGCGAGGGCUCGUCUGCGUCCCUCGUUUCAGUUGUUGCUCCGUGGAAAGCGGUGAAAACCCUAGACCCGGAUCGGUCUCUCCUCCCCCAAUCCCCGGCUCUCUCUCUUCCACAUCCUCUCUUCCUACGGGAGCCCCCGGAGGUGGCGGCGACCAGAAUGGAAGGGGCCGGACCUCACCGCUCCUCUUCCGUGCGCUGGAGAGAAGCACCGAGGGCGCCGCCGCCUCGUGCCUCGCAUAAGGAGGCAGCGCAGACACGGCCGCCGCCGCUGGUAGAGCGCCAUGGUCGCCGCCGGUCGCGGUCGUCGCUGUGCCAAGAGCAUGAGAGCACACGGAGUCGGGCGGCGAAGCAGAGAGCGGUGGCGACGCGCAGCUUUGAGAAGCUCAACCACAGCCGGCGGAGCUCGAGAUCUCUGGUCAAGGCGCCUCCCCCGCCUCGUCAUCCCCUGCCUCUGCAAUCGACGAGGACGACCCGCGAAGAAGCAGCGGGCGGCGCUCCUCCGCCUCCUCGAGCCCCGGAGUUGCGUGGUGAGGCUAGCCGCGCGAAGAAGCAGCGAGGAGGAGGGAGCCGGAGCUGCGCCAGCCGCCCCGAGCCCCCGCCCUCAUAUCCACCCUAUGCCACAGCUCUCACGCCCCGUCGUCAUCCAUUGGGAAGCGGUGCAGGAUUGGCUUCCCCAAGACGUUCUUCAGGCUUGUGGUAGGGCUUGGUGGCCAAGCAAGGUGGCGUCACUGCCUGUAGGUCUCCAGCAGGGCAUAUGGCCAUUGGGGAAGGUGUGGAGGACAGUGGGUUGCUUGUUGGAGAGGAUCAUUUCUGUUGGAGAGGAUCGACGAGGAGAUGCCGGGGAAGAUUUGCUUCGUCUCCAGGUCAAGGGAGAGAUGGAAGGCAACCAUAUCUAAAUUUGUUGUGUUUUUCUGAAUUUUCUUCGUGGGAUUUCAGUUGCAGCGAGCAAGAAAAGGAUCUCUGGAGGCUCAACCACAGCCGGCGGAGCUCGAGAUCUCUGGUCAAGGCGCCUCCCCCGCCUCGUCAUCCCCUGCCUCUGCAAUCGACGAGGACGACCCGCGAAGAAGCAGCGGGCGGCGCUCCUCCGCCUCCUCGAGCCCCGGAGUUGCGUGGUGAGGCUAGCCGCGCGAAGAAGCAGCGAGGAGGAGGGAGCCGGAGCUGCGCCAGCCGCCCCGCGCCCCCGCCCUCAUAUCCACCCUAUGCCACAGCUCUCACGCCCCGUCGUCAUCCAUUGGGAAGCGGUGCAGGAUUGGCUUCCCCAAGACGUUCUUCAGGCUUGUGGUAGGGCUUGGUGGCCAAGCAAGGUGGCGUCACUGCCUGUAGGUCUCCAGCAGGGCAUAUGGCCAUUGGGGAAGGUGUGGAGGACAGUGGGUUGCUUGUUGGAGAGGAUCAUUUCUGUUGGAGAGGAUCGACGAGGAGAUGCCGGGGAAGAUUUGCUUCGUCUCCAGGUCAAGGGAGAGAUGGAAGGCAACCAUAUCUAAAUUUGUUGUGUUUUUCUGAAUUUUCUUCGUGGGAUUUCAGUUGCAGCGAGCAAGAAAAGGAUCUCUGGAGGCUCAACCACAGCCGGCGGAGCUCGAGAUCUCUGGUCAAGGCGCCUCCCCCGCCUCGUCAUCCCCUGCCUCUGCAAUCGGCGAGGACGACCCGCGAAGAAGCAGCGGGCGGCGCUCCUCCGCCUCCUCGAGCCCCGGAGUUGCGUGGUGAGGCUAGCCGCGCGAAGAAGCAGCGAGGAGGAGGGAGCCGGAGCUGCGCCAGCCGCCCCGCGCCCCCGCCCUCAUAUCCACCCUAUGCCACAGCUCUCACGCCCCGUCGUCAUCCAUUGGGAAGCGGUGCAGGAUUGGCUUCCCCAAGACGUUCUUCAGGCUUGUGGUAGGGCUUGGUGGCCAAGCAAGGUGGCGUCACUGCCUGUAGGUCUCCAGCAGGGCAUAUGGCCAUUGGGGAAGGUGUGGAGGACAGUGGGUUGCUUGUUGGAGAGGAUCAUUUCUGUUGGAGAGGAUCGACGAGGAGAUGCCGGGGAAGAUUUGCUUCGUCUCCAGGUCAAGGGAGAGAUGGAAGGCAACCAUAUCUAAAUUUGUUGUGUUUUUCUGAAUUUUCUUCGUGGGAUUUCAGUUGCAGCGAGCAAGAAAAGGAUCUCUGCGAGGCGGAUCAUAUUAAGUGUUGUAAGAUCGAGACCAUACUGAUGAAAUGGUGAUUGUAGGAGAAAUACUCGAAUUGGCUCAUGAAGAGAAUGAAGGAGGAGGGGUGUGAGUGGUAUAUAGCAGAACUUUCGCUCCACUCCGGUCUGAUCGUCUACGCCGGCCGGACGACGGCCAGGAGGUGCCCGCCUGCUUCCUAGAAUCCGCGAGGAAGCUGGAGCUUCCGGUUCACUUUUGCUACAGACCUAGAGGACAAUGAAAUCAAAUUUAUAUAUUACGCUGUUUGCUACGCUAGGAUGGAGAUGAGGCUGACCUUCUCGGGAAGACUGGCGCUAACUAGAGCAACGUUGGCAUGUGCCGGCACCUCCACCGUAGUUCGACAAACGUCUCUGGACCUGGUCGCCUCCCAGUCUUUUCCUCGGGUCAGCAUGAUUCCUUGCCCUCGCCAAAAAACUGUAUGGUUUUGUUCAUUUGUUUUAUAGGCCACAGAUUGUCUUGAGUUCGCCUGAAGGAUUAUCUGGCCAUGUCUAUGGGAGGCCCAAGAGGCGAGGGUGAUGACAAGGCCAUAUUUAUGUUCUGGAUAGGGGUCACAACCAUUGCCGGGGGAAAGUCAACGAGAAGUGGAGACAUGCAUGAUCCAAGUGAUGAUGCAUGAAUGUUUACUAACGCUGAAAUUUGCUAUAGCAGCAGUAGAUUGACAGAGAAAACCAAGCAAUGCUGGAGAUUCAGCUCCAACCUGAUGGACUGAUAUCAGGAUGAAGCUGGUUUUCCUCUAGGUUUUAGCAAUGGUGUCAACCUCCAUUGAGUCGUUGCCGACCUCCACCGAGCAGUCGCUGCUUCUCCUAGGGCCCCUGUAUCGGUCCUCUCCAACAAGGGUAUAUAUCAAGAAGGUUGUUGGUAAAAGGGGCGAGUUCUGUAGACGAGUGCACCAUGGGAUGAAGGAGAUAAACCUAUUAGCCUGCUACGAGGUGAACGAAAGCUGCUUGGCACUCUCUGCUCAUUUUAUAGCCUACCAGCUAGGACGGACUGACCCUUUUGGCAUAUCUCUACAACUUAGUCAUGUGUGUACAUAGCAUAGUUAAACAGCUACACGGGUGGUGACUUGCUUUGUAUUUUUUGCAUCUGGUCAUGUUUACCUCAACUAUAUGGUUAUAAUUAGAAGACUACUACUCUUCUAGACGUACAUAUAUUUUCUAAUUCACUACACAAUGUUAUUUAAUUUCUAGAUUUGUUGCGCAUUCAAGGAUGUGAAUCUCCAGCUAUAUCUUUGGAUGUCGAUUAUGUAUUAGGUAUAGAUGAUUGGGGCACAUGUACCAAUGCAAUUGGAAUUUUUAAUGAUUUGUCUUACUGUCCAGAUCAGAUAAAAAAAUGACGGAGACAUUGUAUAUAUCUUUACUUUUAUCGACUGAUUAGUGUAAUUUAUGCCUCCUUAUUAAGCACUGCUGCAGGAUGUUUCACAGUGUUACGAGAUUAAUAACAGUUAACUUUUGCACUACUGCAGGAUGCUCUUAAGCAUGUAUUCGUGAGUAGAGUGAUGGAUGUCAAGGACUUUCAUGUAUGGAUUCGGCUUUCGUAUGU